GCUGCUGUAGCUCAGUGGUAGAGCACCUCAUUGGUAAUGAGGAGGUCAUGGGUUCAAGUCCCAUCAGCAGCU
RNAcentral lists this transfer RNA (72 nucleotides) under Fimbriiglobus sp. Its description in RNAcentral is "tRNA-Thr". It matches the Rfam family "tRNA". From Rfam's summary of the family: Transfer RNA (tRNA) molecules are approximately 80 nucleotides in length. Their secondary structure includes four short double-helical elements and three loops (D, anti-codon, and T loops). RNAcentral also lists the same sequence under 2 other names. Lineage: Bacteria; Pseudomonadati; Planctomycetota; Planctomycetia; Gemmatales; Gemmataceae. The record is from RNAcentral.